Molecule: small nucleolar RNA, 118 nt
Organism: Delphinapterus leucas (beluga whale)
Lineage: Eukaryota; Metazoa; Chordata; Mammalia; Artiodactyla; Monodontidae
Gene: SNORA70
Rfam family: Small nucleolar RNA SNORA70
About the family: snoRNA U70 seems to be exclusive to mammals and is a member of the H/ACA class of snoRNA which contain H (ANANNA) and ACA box motifs.
Source: Ensembl
UUUCAGCCAGUUAAGCCAACUGUGCUCUUUUCCCCGUGGGGGCCCGGUGUGCACCUCCUCGGUGGUACGUGCAGCCUGUGGACUGUACAGGUUGCCCUCAGGGACGCUGGAUUCAGCC